RNAcentral lists this microRNA precursor (159 nucleotides) under Prunus dulcis (almond). Its description in RNAcentral is "sRNA ncRNA". Lineage: Eukaryota; Viridiplantae; Streptophyta; Magnoliopsida; Rosales; Rosaceae. The record is from RNAcentral.
GAAAGAAGGAAAGAGAAAGAGAGAAAGAGAGAAAGAGAGAGAGAAUUUGGGAAGCUUUCAAAACACUACUUCGGCGAAGGAUCCAAUGCAGCAAAUAUACACCUCUCAACACAUCAUCUCUCUCUCUCUCUCUCUCUCUCUCUCUCUCUCUCUCUCUCU